AGUUAACGUUAAAUUUUUGAAGUUAUUUUAGUUUUUUUGUUGGGUGAAAUCAGUAUAAAGAGUUUUUCCUUCUUUAAAAAUUAAUAGGAAUUAAAAAACUCUGAUUUAAAACCAGGAUUAGAUACCCUGUUAUUCUGAGUUAUAUUUAGACAGGGUAGUAAAAGUUGUUCUUCAAACCCAAAGAUUUUGGCGGCACUUUAUCCAAAUAGAGGAGCUUGUCCCUUAAUCGAUAGUCCCCGUUUUAUCUUUCCUCUGUUUGUAGAGCUUGUAUACCGCCGUUGUCAGAUUACUUCUAGAGAAUGUUUUCAAAUUAAAAGAUUUUUUUACUUCAGGUCAAGGUGCAGUUUAUAUAGAGGUGGAGGUGAGCUACAAUUUUCUUUACAAAUAUGGAUACUAAGCCUCGAAGCUGGUUGAAAGUGGAUUUAUUAGUAAAGUAAUUUAAGUAAA
This 447-nucleotide ribosomal RNA is filed under the name Daphnia longispina. Its description in RNAcentral is "partial 12S ribosomal RNA". The record is from RNAcentral. Lineage: Eukaryota; Metazoa; Arthropoda; Branchiopoda; Diplostraca; Daphniidae.